AAUAUUUUUUAUUGGUCCAUUCAGUCAGGACCGAUAGUUAGUUGCACAUGUGAGGUUCUAUCUAUAAAUUUCAAUGAAUGUGUAAUUGCAAUGGUGUAAGUAUUGUUUCGGACGAUUCAUCGGAUGUUUGUUUGAUCUCGAAUUACUAUUGGAUCGAGAUACAUUUUUUUCCUCAUAUGGAGGUUACAAAUUGAAUUUCUUAGUGGAUGCACACGUAAGGAGCCACUAUUUGCUUAAUUACGAUGACUUAUCUACCCUCUAUUUCUAAUUUUAUGUGUCCGAUAGUGAUUGUAUACAGACUAUUUUUCCAAAUUUGUUAUUGAGCUACAUAACUUACAAAACGGAACAAAUGCACGGAAUAGAUUACUAAAAUAGGCAACCAAUUCUAUACGAAUUUCUUUUAAAUGAUAAUCUGCGUCUUCUAUGGAAACCGUAACUGAAUUAAGUAUUUGCUGUCAAAAAUUAAGGUUAGCUAUUAGUCUUCAUUUUUAUUAUUAGCUUCUAAUUGUGAUGUUUUAAUCCAAAGAUGUAUAGAAAAGGCGCUAAAGUUGAAUAUUAACAUGGCAUCCGGAUAGUAACGCGUUUGUCGCGUGUAGCGUUGGUUGCCUACAUCCAUCUCCUACUCCAUGCAUUUGAUCUUUUUUUUUAAUAUGCAUACCCAUAUGUACACAUUUAAGAAAAAUUCCCUGUAUAUAGGAAUAGCAGGUCCUGAGGAUCUGUUGACGUUCUACCUACAUCAACGAUUAUGGUGCGCCGUUUUACUAUUUAUUAUACAUUUAUAACGUAUAUGAAGAUAUUUAAAUAACAAUUGAAUUGUUACCAACAAAUUCAACAUCUCAAAAAAAUGUUAGCCAAAUGUAUGCAAAUGUAAGAAAUGUUAAUAUGGAUUUCAGCGUUUGAAUCCUAAAACACUACAAGAUGACAGAGAUGAAUAUUAAACAUUGCCAAUUUAAUUGUCAUGCAUCAAAAUAAAUAGCAAUUUCUAUAAAAGAUUUAAACACAUAAGGCAUUUAUUUGGAACUGUCCAGCUAUACCAGAAGUGAAAUACAUUUGCUGCUGUGUGUAAUUGAAUUGAUAUUAAAUAAAAUUGAGUCGAGUAUGUUUGCAUCCAAAAAAAAAUGUAAACCAUUCUCAUGCGUAUAUCAAAUUAAAUCGCAUGCAUUGAAAUUCGUAUAUAUGCACUUUAAAGAACAAACGUUAUUCACGUAUGGGAUUAAAAUAGAUACCCGUUGCGACAUUACCUAUGGAAAUGAAAUUAUUCGUAAGGUAUGGCAUAAAAAUUAAAUCGAAGUUUAAGAUGUAGCAUUGAAUUCCAAUGAAUUUAAUAGUGCAUCUUUUAAUUCAAAUGAACGUCGAAUUAUUUUGUGAAUCAUUUCUAUGCGAUACACCGCAUUAAAAUACAGCGCAUUUUAAGUGUGCUUAUACAUACAAUGGAAAUUCGGUCUGCAUAAAAUGUAUCGCAUAAGAAUGAGACACAAAUUUAAUGUAUCAAAUGGAAAUGGUAUGAAUGAAAAUUACUCUGCAUGCAAAUGCGCAGUUACGUUAGAGAAGGAAAGUAGCCGUAGGUCUUAGGUACGUUUUAUUUGCGGUUGCGCAAAAACAAAACAGCUGUUAUUGAUUGUUACUUACAUCGAACGUGUAAAUGGAUUAUUUAUACGUUCAUCAAUUUUGAGAAGGCAAGCGAUUUAUUGGGUUAUUUACGUCGGUCACACGUGACCUUUACAGUUUUUACGUACAUAUUCGGAUUUGCACCUGCUGCACAAUAUUGUUUAAUAUAAAGCAAGAAAAAGGCCGAUGGAAAUCGAAAGAUGUGCAAGAGGCGCCGGGUCCCCUUAACAAUAAAUUGGAGGUGUACGCUGUCGCUAUAAAAAUAGUUACAGGUUCGUGGGAAUUAAUAAUGGAUAAAGAGUCCAGAGAUAAACCGUGUUAAUGGAACGAAGCUCAUGUUCUACGACUCUUGUAAGGAACAAGCACAUCGACAAGUUGAUGCUCCUUCGUAAUGGAAAUUAUGUCGAGUUCAAUCGUGAUAUAUCUACUAACACGAUUAGUUAAAUAUGUAAUCUCCAUUGAAUGAGAGAUUUGUAUAUUUACAAGAUGCUAAUACAUGUACCUGUGUAGAAACACGAGCACGUGAGACAUUGUUAGACACGUAUCUCGUUCUGUUUGAUGGGUGCACCGUAGUAUGUAAACGAAGACGUGUCAUUCGCUAACAAAGUUACACAAAUAUUGUCAACAAAAUUUGUAUCCUGAUAAUUAAACGAUUAUCCUAUUCGUCA
Photinus pyralis (common eastern firefly) is the source of this 2276-nucleotide long non-coding RNA. RefSeq lists it as uncharacterized. The transcript is spliced from 3 exons. NCBI's taxonomy places the organism in Eukaryota, Metazoa, Arthropoda, Insecta, Coleoptera, Lampyridae. The record is from RefSeq and is a predicted model, not a curated record.